This 390-nucleotide ribosomal RNA is filed under the name fungal sp. RNAcentral's name for it is "SSU rRNA". It matches the Rfam family "Eukaryotic small subunit ribosomal RNA", at positions 827 to 1218 of the family's 1831-position model. Lineage: Eukaryota; Fungi. The record is from RNAcentral.
CGCGCGUUCCCAUUUUGUUGGUUUCUGAGAUCGCCGUAAUGAUUAAUAGGGAUAGUUGGGGGCAUUUGUAUUCCGUCGUCAGAGGUGAAAUUCUUGGAUUGCCGGAAGACAAACUACUGCGAAAGCAUUUGCCAAGGAUGUUUUCAUUGAUCAAGAACGAAGGAAGGGGGAUCGAAAACGAUCAGAUACCGUUGUAGUCUCUUCUGUAAACUAUGCCAAUUGGGGAUUAGCACAGGAUUUUCAAUGACUGUGUUAGCACCCGAAGAGAAAUCUUUAAAUGAGGUUCGGGGGGGAGUAUGGUCGCAAGGCUGAAACUUAAAGGAAUUGACGGAAGGGCACCACCAGGUGUGGAGCCUGCGGCUUAAUUUGACUCAACACGGGGAAACUCAC